GGUUGUAGCUCAGUGGUAAAGAGCUUGCCUAGGAUGUGCAAGGCCCUGGGUUCAGUCCUCAGCACCA
Molecule: transfer RNA, 67 nt
Filed under: Marmota monax (woodchuck)
Lineage: Eukaryota; Metazoa; Chordata; Mammalia; Rodentia; Sciuridae
Description: tRNA.Pro
Source: RNAcentral